CGGGUUGCAGCAGUGGGGAAUUUUGGACAAUGGGCGCAAGCCUGAUCCAGCAAUGCCGCGUGCAGGAUGAAGGCCUUCGGGUUGUAAACUGCUUUUGUACGGAACGAAACGGUGAGCUCUAAUAAAGUUUGCUAAUGACGGUACCGUAAGAAUAAGCACCGGCUAACUACGUGCCAGCAGCCGCGGUAAUACGUAGGGUGCGAGCGUUAAUCGGAAUUACUGGGCGUAAAGCGUGCGCAGGCGGUUAUAUAAGACAGAUGUGAAAUCCCCGGGCUCAACCUGGGACCUGCAUUUGUGACUGUAUAGCUAGAGUACGGUAGAGGGGGAUGGAAUUCCGCGUGUAGCAGUGAAAUGCGUAGAUAUGCGGAGGAACACCGAUGGCGAAGGCAAUCCCCUGGACCUGUACUGACGCUCAUGCACGAAAGCGUGGGGAGCAAACAGGAUUAGAUACCCCGGU
RNAcentral lists this ribosomal RNA (457 nucleotides) under uncultured Comamonadaceae bacterium. Its description in RNAcentral is "bacterial SSU rRNA". It matches the Rfam family "Bacterial small subunit ribosomal RNA", at positions 342 to 791 of the family's 1533-position model. The record is from RNAcentral. Lineage: Bacteria; Pseudomonadati; Pseudomonadota; Betaproteobacteria; Burkholderiales; Comamonadaceae.